AUGAACGCUGGCGGCGUGCCUCAUACAUGCAAGUCGAGCGAACAGACGAGGAGCUUGCUCCUCUGACGUUAGCGGCGGGCGGGUGAGUAACACGUGGAUAACCUACCUAUAAGACUGGGAUAACUUCGGGAAACCGGAGCUAAUACCGGAUAAUAUAUUGAACCGCAUGGUUCAAUAGUGAAAGACGGUUUUGCUGUCACUUAUAGAUGGAUCCGCGCCGCAUUAGCUAGUUGGUAAGGUAACGGCUUACCAAGGCAACGAUGCGUAGCCGACCUGAGAGGGUGAUCGGCCACACUGGAACUGAGACACGGUCCAGACUCCUACGGGAGGCAGCAGUAGGGAAUCUUCCGCAAUGGGCGAAAGCCUGACGGAGCAACGCCGCGUGAGUGAUGAAGGUCUUCGGAUCGUAAAACUCUGUUAUUAGGGUAGAACAAAUGUGUAAGUAACUAUGCACGUCUUGACGGUACCUAAUCAGAAAGCCACGGCUAACUACGUG
Molecule: ribosomal RNA, 496 nt
Filed under: uncultured bacterium
Lineage: Bacteria
Description: partial 16S ribosomal RNA
Rfam family: Bacterial small subunit ribosomal RNA
Source: RNAcentral